Molecule: long non-coding RNA, 378 nt
Filed under: Brassica napus (rape)
Lineage: Eukaryota; Viridiplantae; Streptophyta; Magnoliopsida; Brassicales; Brassicaceae
Description: long non-coding RNA (BNAP_LNC010069)
Source: RNAcentral
AUAUUAAUAUAAAUAUGGUAACCCAAUAUGUCCGAUAUAAUCAAGGUAUGAAAAUAAAGAAGGAUAGUAUCAUGAUAUUCUAUGAAUAUAGAAUAUUAAACCAUAACUAGAGAUUUUCUUGCAUUUUUAUACUUUGAUAUUUUUUUUAUGAUUAGUGUUAUAUAUUUUAGAUGUGUCGUAAUAUAACUAAAUGUAUUAUAAAGACCUGUCACAAAUCAGGUAAUAUGGUUUUGGUACAAAUAUCUGAACCUGUAUAUAUUUGUUAUUUAGAUAUUUUUAGGUUCAUAUACAUCAGAACUGAACACAUCCAGAUCCAGAAAAACUCAACUUAAAAUUCACACAUAAAUUAAUAUUAUUCAAACGGGGCCUCAUUUCAAA